RNAcentral lists this transfer RNA (74 nucleotides) under Rhodospirillaceae bacterium. Its description in RNAcentral is "tRNA-Cys". It matches the Rfam family "tRNA". From Rfam's summary of the family: Transfer RNA (tRNA) molecules are approximately 80 nucleotides in length. Their secondary structure includes four short double-helical elements and three loops (D, anti-codon, and T loops). Further hydrogen bonds mediate the characteristic L-shaped molecular structure. tRNAs have two regions of fundamental functional importance: the anti-codon, which is responsible for specific mRNA codon recognition, and the 3' end, to which the tRNAs corresponding amino acid is attached (by aminoacyl-tRNA synthetases). tRNAs cope with the degeneracy of the genetic code in two manners: having more than one tRNA (with a specific anti-codon) for a particular amino acid; and 'wobble' base-pairing, i.e. permitting non-standard base-pairing at the 3rd anti-codon position. The record is from RNAcentral. Lineage: Bacteria; Pseudomonadati; Pseudomonadota; Alphaproteobacteria; Rhodospirillales; Rhodospirillaceae. RNAcentral also lists the same sequence under 8 other names.
GGCGCGGUGGCGGAGUGGUUACGCAGCGGCCUGCAAAGCCGUGAACACCGGUUCGAUUCCGGUCCGCGCCUCCA